UCUUGGUCAUUUAGAGGAAGUAAAAGUCGUAACAAGGUUUCCGUAGGUGAACCUGCGGAAGGAUCAUUAUUGAAAUAAACCUGAUAAGUUGUUGCUGGUUCUCUAGGGAGCAAUGUGCACACUUGUCAUCUUUGUAUCUUCACCUGUGCAUCUUUUGUAGACCUGAUUAUCUCUCUGAAUGCUUUUGUAGCACUUAGGAUUGAGAAUUGACUUUAUUGUCUCUUCUUACAUUUUCAGGUCUAUGUUUCUUCAUAUACCCUAAUGUAUGUUUAUAGAAUGUAAUUAAUAGGCCUUUGUGCCUAUAAACCUUUUACAACUUUCAGCAACGGAUCUCUUGGCUCUCGCAUCGAUGAAGAACGCAGCGAAAUGCGAUAAGUAAUGUGAAUUGCAGAAUUCAGUGAAUCAUCGAAUCUUUGAACGCACCUUGCGCUCCUUGGUAUUCCGAGGAGCAUGCCUGUUUGAGUGUCAUUAAUAUUAUCAACCUUUUUGGUUGGGUGUGGGUUUGCUGGACUCUUUUGAGAUCAGCUCCCCUUAAAUGCAUUAGCGGACAACAUUUUGCCAACCGUUCAUUGGUGUGAUAAUUAUCUACGCUAUUGACGUGAAAGCAAUGUUCAGCUUCUAACAGUCCAUUUACUUGGACAAACCUUAUUAAUAUGACCUCAAAUCAGGUAGGACUACCCGCUGAACUUAAGCAUAUCAAUAAGCGGAGGAAAAGAAACUAACAAGGAUUCCCCUAGUAACUGCGAGUGAAGCGGGAAAAGCUCAAAUUUAAAAUCUGGCAGUCUUUGGCUGUUCGAGUUGUAAUCUAGAGAAGCAUUAUCCGCGCUGGACCGUGUACAAGUCUCCUGGAAUGGAGCGUCAUAGAGGGUGAGAAUCCCGUCUU
Molecule: ribosomal RNA, 883 nt
Filed under: Calonarius callochrous
Lineage: Eukaryota; Fungi; Basidiomycota; Agaricomycetes; Agaricales; Cortinariaceae
Description: eukaryotic LSU rRNA
Rfam family: Eukaryotic large subunit ribosomal RNA (bases 655-883)
Source: RNAcentral